AGUACGAACAAAAGUAUAAGUUCAAGUUCAAGUGCAAGUUCAAGUUCAAAUUCAAGGGUCAUGAGUACGAGUAAGAACACACUGGCCUAACCUCUGUCCAGCAAUUCACAUUCUUAAACAGUCACAAAAUUCAAGUCCACAUUCCAUAUAUUCAGUCAAAUUAGGUCCAUUGAGGAUACGCAAGAGCACACUAGCCUAAACAGGUUCAAGUCUCAAGUAAGCUCAGUCUAAUCGGUUUCAGGUAGUUCGAGUUCUCUUACCAACCCACUGCAAUACUUUCGGAGUUCAAACUUCCUAAGAUUGAAAUACUGGCACAGAACCAAUCAUAACAGAUGUUGCGCACAAGAAAAGCUCACCAAGUUUCUAGCUAGGUUAAUCCAUUAUACACUAGUAGAUCGGAUCUUCGGGUUUAUGUUCGAUUCAUAUUCGGUACUAGGGACCUAUUAAAUUAUAUGAAACUGUCUAUCAAUUUGUCUCACAAGUACAGGGUUGUCUAAGCCCUCGGUCACGGUCCCCUUUUCUCGUUCCU
Molecule: long non-coding RNA, 529 nt
Filed under: Coffea arabica (coffee)
Lineage: Eukaryota; Viridiplantae; Streptophyta; Magnoliopsida; Gentianales; Rubiaceae
Description: long non-coding RNA (CARA_LNC008234)
Source: RNAcentral